GAAAUUAAAAUCUAUCUUCUUUCACAUCCGCACCGCAAGCGCAUUCGAGAAAUUCUCGUUAUCAUUUCGACUCCUCUUCACUUCACACUCUCCCUUCCUUCCUUUCUUCUGGUUCUUUUUGUUUGGGAUUAGGUUUGGUGGAGAAUGAGUUGUAUUCAGGCUACUAGUGUUGGCAAGCCUUGUGCAACUCUCCCAAAUGGAGCCCAAUUACAGCAUCCACCUGGUACGACACAUUGUACAUUGUUGAAACUAACAUAUAAGCAGGGUGCACCCCAGUUGAAAUCUCAGCAACGAAGCCCAAUUGUUUGCUUGUUUGGUGAUAAAGACAAGUCUAAAGAUACGAAAUCUCCAUGGGAUGCAUUUGGGAAAGCUAUGGGAAAUUUGAGAAACUUAGGGGCAGUCU
Long non-coding RNA from Mangifera indica (mango), 403 nucleotides. RefSeq lists it as uncharacterized. The transcript has 3 exons. The record is from RefSeq and is a predicted model, not a curated record. Lineage: Eukaryota; Viridiplantae; Streptophyta; Magnoliopsida; Sapindales; Anacardiaceae.